AUUGAACGCUGGCGGCAGGCCUAACACAUGCAAGUCGAGCGGAUGAAGGGAGCUUGCUCCUGGAUUCAGCGGCGGACGGGUGAGUAAUGCCUAGGAAUCUGCCUGGUAGUGGGGGAUAACGUCCGGAAACGGGCGCUAAUACCGCAUACGUCCUGAGGGAGAAAGUGGGGGAUCUUCGGACCUCACGCUAUCAGAUGAGCCUAGGUCGGAUUAGCUAGUUGGUGGGGUAAAGGCCUACCAAGGCGACGAUCCGUAACUGGUCUGAGAGGAUGAUCAGUCACACUGGAACUGAGACACGGUCCAGACUCCUACGGGAGGCAGCAGUGGGGAAUAUUGGACAAUGGGCGAAAGCCUGAUCCAGCCAUGCCGCGUGUGUGAAGAAGGUCUUCGGAUUGUAAAGCACUUUAAGUUGGGAGGAAGGGCAGUAAGUUAAUACCUUGCUGUUUUGACGUUACCAACAGAGUAAACACCGGCGAACUUCGU
RNAcentral lists this ribosomal RNA (483 nucleotides) under uncultured bacterium. RNAcentral describes it as "partial 16S ribosomal RNA". It matches the Rfam family "Bacterial small subunit ribosomal RNA", at positions 30 to 506 of the family's 1533-position model. The record is from RNAcentral.